GGAGUUAGCCGGUGCUUCUUCUGUGAGUGAUGUCCUUCCUGCCGGUUAUUGACCCGCAGGCCUUCUUCCUCACUGAAAGUGCUUUACAACCCGAAGGCCUUCUUCACACACGCGGCAUGGCUGGAUCAGGGUUGCCCCCAUUGUCCAAUAUUCCCCACUGCUGCCUCCCGUAGGAGUCUGGGCCGUGUCUCAGUCCCAGUGUGGCUGAUCAUCCUCUCAGACCAGCUACGGAUCGUCGCCUUGGUGAGCCGUUACCUCACCAACCAGCUAAUCCGACAUAGGCUCAUCCGAUAGCGCGAGGCCCGAAGGUCCCCCGCUUUCCCCCGUAGGGCGUAUGCGGUAUUAGCCUGGGUUUCCCCAGGUUAUCCCCCACUACCGGGCAGAUUCCUAUGCAUUACUCACCCGUCCGCCGCUCGCCACCAGGGAGCAAGCUCCCCGUGCUGCCGCUCGACUUGCAUAUGUUAGGCCUGCCGCCAGCGUUCAAUCUGAGCCAGGAUCAAACUCUGA
This 507-nucleotide ribosomal RNA is filed under the name uncultured bacterium. RNAcentral describes it as "partial 16S ribosomal RNA". The record is from RNAcentral.